GAGUUUACGCUCUAUAACCCUUUGUGAACAUACCUAUAACUGUUGCUUCGGCGGGUAGGGUCUCCGCGACCCUCCCGGCCUCCCGCCCCCGGGCGGGUCGGCGCCCGCCGGAGGAUAACCAAACUCUGAUUUAACGACGUUUCUUCUGAGUGGUACAAGCAAAUAAUCAAAACUUUUAACAACGGAUCUCUUGGUUCUGGCAUCGAUGAAGAACGCAGCGAAAUGCGAUAAGUAAUGUGAAUUGCAGAAUUCAGUGAAUCAUCGAAUCUUUGAACGCACAUUGCGCCCGCCAGCAUUCUGGCGGGCAUGCCUGUUCGAGCGUCAUUUCAACCCUCAAGCUCUGCUUGGUGUUGGGGCCCUACAGCUGAUGUAGGCCCUCAAAGGUAGUGGCGGACCCUCCCGGAGCCUCCUUUGCGUAGUAACUUUACGUCUCGCACUGGGAUCCGGAGGGACUCUUGCCGUAAAACCCCCCAAUUUUCCAAAGGUUGACCUCGGAUCAGGUAGGAAUACCCGCUGAACUUAAGCAUAUCAAUAAGCGGAGGAAAAGAAACCAACAGGGAUUGCCUCAGUAACGGCGAGUGAAGCGGCAACAGCUCAAAUUUGAAAUCUGGCCCUAGGCCCGAGUUGUAAUUUGCAGAGGAUGCUUUUGGUGCGGUGCCUUCCAAGUUCCCUAGAACGGGACGCCAGAGAGGGUGAGAGCCCCGUACAGUUGGACACCAAGCCUUUGUAAAGCUCCUUCGACGAGUCGAGUAGUUUGGGAAUGCUGCUCAAAAUGGGAGGUAUAUUUCUUCUAAAGCUAAAUACCGGCCAGAGACCGAUAGCGCACAAGUAGAGUGAUCGAAAGAUGAAAAGCACUUUGAAAAGAGGGUUAAACAGCACGUGAAAUUGUUAAAAGGGAAGCGCUUGUGACCAGACUUGCGUCCGGUGAAUCACCCAGCUCUCGCGGCUGGGGCACUUCGCCGGCUCAGGCCAGCAUCAGCUCGCUGUCGGGGACAAAAGCUUCAGGAACGUAGCUCUCUUCGGGGAGUGUUAUAGCCUGUUGCACAAUACCCUUCGGCGGGCUGA
This 1065-nucleotide ribosomal RNA is filed under the name fungal endophyte. RNAcentral describes it as "eukaryotic LSU rRNA". The stretch from base 487 to 1065 matches the Rfam family "Eukaryotic large subunit ribosomal RNA", at positions 1 to 591 of the family's 3401-position model. The record is from RNAcentral. Lineage: Eukaryota; Fungi.